GCCACCCUGGCGGCGUGCUUCAUACAUGCAAGUCGAGCGGGGAAGGUAGCUUGCUACCUAACCUAGCGGCGGACGGGUGAGUAAUGCUUAGGAAUCUGCCUAUUAGUGGGGGACAACGUUUCGAAAGGAACGCUAAUACCGCAUACGUCCUACGGGAGAAAGCAGGGGAUCAUUUGACCUUGUGCUAAUAGAUGAGCCUAAGUCGGAUUAGCUAGUUGGUGGGGUAAAGGCCUACCAAGGCGACGAUCUGUAGCGGGUCUGAGAGGAUGAUCCGCCACACUGGGACUGAGACACGGCCCAGACUCCUACGGGAGGCAGCAGUGGGGAAUAUUGGACAAUGGGCGCAAGCCUGAUCCAGCCAUGCCGCGUGUGUGAAGAAGGCCUUAUGGUUGUAAAGCACUUUAAGCGAGGAGGAGGAGCUUCAGGUUAAUACCCUGGAUGCUUGGACGUUACUCGCAGAAUAAGCACCGGCUAACUCUGUGCCAGCAGCCGCGGUAAUACAGAGGGUGCAAGCGUUAAUCGGAUUUACUGGGCGUAAAGCGUGCGUAGGCGGCUAAUUAAGUCAAAUGUGAAAUCCCCGAGCUUAACUUGGGAAUUGCAUUCGAUACUGGUUAGCUAGAGUAUGGGAGAGGAUGGUAGAAUUCCAGGUGUAGCGGUGAAAUGCGUAGAGAUCUGGAGGAAUACCGAUGGCGA
Molecule: ribosomal RNA, 693 nt
Filed under: uncultured Acinetobacter sp.
Lineage: Bacteria; Pseudomonadati; Pseudomonadota; Gammaproteobacteria; Moraxellales; Moraxellaceae
Description: bacterial SSU rRNA
Rfam family: Bacterial small subunit ribosomal RNA
Source: RNAcentral